CUACCACCCACCGCCUGUCACGUUCCGCUCAGCUGCACUGUCCGGAGCACGGCCUCAGACUAACAGAAUAUGGGACACCAUGGAAUUUUACUUGGAGAUUGAUCCCGUAACACUGAACUUGAUAAUACUGGUGGCCAGUUAUGUCAUCCUGCUCCUGGUCUUCCUCGUCUCCUGUGUGCUGUACGACUGCCGGGGAAGAGAUCCCAGCAAGGAAUAUGCUCCCGAAGCGAUCCCCGAGAACAGGUCGCCCAUCCGCCUGGUGGUAAUGCAACAAAGCGCAAACUGGAGCAAGGCCUAUGAGAAUAGCACCAGUCUGCUGGAGAAAAAAAUCACUGUGGUCUGAGCUCAGUGACUUGGUUCUGGGCAGAAUGUCCACGCUCAGCCUGCAGAGGCCUACGUUCUCCAGGUAAACAAAUCCUUGUCUUACGUUCAUCUUCCAGAUUCCUGUCAUUCUGCCAGCUUGUUGCGUGUGUUGAUUCAGCAUGCGAUUGGCACUGCAUUCUUGAUUUGUGUUGUCAUCUUGCGUUCACAUUUAUCUAUCGCUAGAUUCAUCCUAGUUUAAAAAGACCUAAAACUCUUUUUUAUAUAAGUAAUGUGCGGUGUGUAUGAGUGUAUCACAGAGCUCCACAGCAAUAAAACUCACCUUGACAAACACAAAUAAACAGGUUUACAAAAUUAGUUCUAGAAAUAAGGGGCUUUGGUUUGGAUCUAAAUGAUAUUUGAUUUGAAAUCUCUCAGUACUUUUUAGAUACACUUUGCAGUAAUAACCUGAUUUAAUAGAGUCAUCCAAAGAAACACAGUGCACUAUAACCACUGUAAUGAGCUGUGGUGGUUAUGGUGCAAAGAUUACUCCUUUAAGUAUUAUUUGACAGUAAGCAGGGUUUGAUAUAAUGCACAGGAAGUUGGCUGUGUGUCAUGUAAAUGGUAGUUAACCACCGUCAGAGUGUCAGAAGCCUCCCAUCACUGAUUUAAAAUGUAACCACAUGAAUUUAGCUUGGGCUCCCUAGAAACGUGUCGCUACUUCAUGCUGAUACACUUUGCAGGAGGGAAAACGCUUUACCAAUUAACUCACAUUCUUUGAGCAGUUAAUUAAUUCAUUACCACUCACAGCACAUCAUGUCUACCCAAUUGCAGCACUUUUCAUACAAAGCCCACCUACAUGAAAAAAAAACUCUCCUAGACUCCUACCAUGUACAUAGCAGGGUUUCUGGUCCACCUGAACCCUCCUUUCCUUUAAGUGCUGUAGAUAGUUUUCACAUUCAGUAAAGGGGAGAGAAGAAAUUAAAAAUAUUUGUGAAAAUGAAGUAUCUCUCCCAGACUAAUGAACAAUCAUGCAUCCAUUUAAGAAGAAAUAAUGUACAAUUGCAUGUGGCUCAGGCAUUAUAUGGCUGUUUGACAGCAAUGUUAGCAUUUCCUGUUGUGGUUAGUGAGACGGGUACAAGGAGUAAUUGGAUGUGAGGAGGAAAACAGCCUCACAGAUUGCAGAAAGCAUUGCGUAAUUUUUUGUUUAUCAGGCUAAUAACAUCUAGCUAUUAGAAAUGGCCACCUGUAUUCUUAAUGAAAUGAGAUACUGAGCUGAUGGGAUUUUAUCGCUAUGAGUAUAGUUAAAAGGAUACUCCAAGCACCAUGACUACUUCAGUGAUUUAAAGUGGUCAUGGUGUUUGGAGUGUGUAUGUGCAGUGUUAGGCUAUAAAACGCUAGAUGUACAAAGUUUAACCCCUCAGCUGCUGAAGAUCUAACUCUACCUCAGCGUCAUUGGGGUGCCAUCAGUCAGCCCGUAACUAGACUUCUGGGCCUGCGAAUGUCAGUUAGGGGCAACUUCAUUGAACAGAAUUAAAUUUAUUUGUUCAGAGUGUUUAGCUGACCCUCUCAGCCAAAAAAUAUAUAUAUUCCUGGCACCAUAACCACUACAGCGGGCUUAUGGUGGUUAUGGUGAUUGGAGUAACCCUUUCAUGUAUAAUACGAUAAGAACCCGUCACAGUGGUGAUAAAUGACAGAACCCACAGAUAUCUUGCGGUCUCGAAAAUAAUCCAGACUAAAAAUGGAAAAACAGUUCCACCUGUACAGUUUAUAUUUUUAUUAUUUAUAUAGAAUGAAAAUAUCCUGCAGCUCUGUUCAGUAGCUAAUGUGUUACAAAUAUCAGCAGUGUUUAUGGUACUCAGAGUUUAUUUUGACAAUAAUCAUAAACCGCUUCUAUUUCCACUGAAUAUAUUUAUUGCAAAUACCCAUACAAUAUGUAUGUGUACAGUAUAUAUAUUUAUUGAAUUAUUUAUUAAUUAUUCUAGUUAGAGCUAUCGAGUGCAGGGUUUGUGUCAGCUACAUAUGUAUAAAAUGUCUUAUAUGUAUUUUAAUUUGCGGCAGAGUAAUAUUUUACAGAUAUUACAGUUUAGCAUGUGAAUGGAUAUAGAGACAGAUUUAUUUGAAGAGAACAGAGUUCUGUCAUGUAAAAAAAACAUUCUUAAAGUGUGCCUGUCAUGACGUGUUAUACCCUAGUGAAAGGGCAUCAACAUAAUGUUUACUUUGUCCUAGCAAAUUAUUAUUAUUAUUAUUAUUUUAUUAUUUAUAUAGCGCCAACAAAUUCCGUAGCGCUGUACAAUGGGUGGACUAACAGACACAUAAUUGAGAUCAGACCACUGACGUACAGGAACAGAGGGGGUUGAGGGCCCUGCUCGAUGAGCUUACAUGCUAGAGGGAGUGGGGUAUAGUGACACAAAGGGUUAAAGUAGGGGAAUUAAAUAGUUUGUUACAGAAGGGUUUAUUGAGUGCUUGGUAGGUCAUUUUUGACAGGUGAAGGAACGGAGUCAUGGGGUGGGGGAUGAGAAACCUGCUGACAGUUUAAUUGAUACGCUUUAAUAAAGAAGUGAGUUUUCAAAGAUUUUUUGAAGGAAUGGAGGCUGGGUGAAAGUCUGAUUGAGGAGGGAAGGGAAUUCCACAGAAUAGGUGCAGCCCUGGAGAAGUCUUGAAGGCGAGCAUCAGAGGUGGGGAUCCGGGCAGAGGAUAGGAGUAGGUCUUGGGCUGAGCGCAGGGGUCUCGUCGGGACAUACUUGUGUAUGAGGGAAGAUAGGUAUGUUGGAGCAGCAUUAUGUAGGGAUUUGUAAGCAAACGCCAGAAUUUUGAAUUGGGCCCUAUAUCUAACUGGAAGCCAAUGCAUGGACUGACAGAGCGUGGAGGCGUGGGAGGUGCGACCGGACAGGAAAAUAAGCCUCGCAGCCGUAUUCAUUAUAGAUUGCAGCGGUGCAAGCUGGGAACAUGUAAGAGAAAGGGAUUGCAAUAGUCAAGGCGAGAGAGAACAACAGCAUGUACCAGUACCUUAGCAGCGUCCGGCGUUAGAUAUGGGCGGAUGCGCGCUAUGUUCUUGAGUUGGAAGCGACAGGAUUUGGCUAUCGAUUGAACAUGGGGAGUAAAAGAGAGAUCAGAAUCAAAAAUAACUCCUAGGCAGCGAGCCUGGGAGGUAGAGGUGAUAGUAGCGCCGUUGACUUGGAUGGCGACAGACACAGGAGUAGCAGCACUUGAGGGAGGAAAAACUAGAAGUUCUGUUUUGGACAGGUUGAGUUUAAGGAAGUGAGCAGCCAUCCAGUUGGAAAUAGCAGAGAGGCAGUCAGAAACACGAGUCAAGGUGGGCGGAGAGAGAUCAGGGGAGGACAGGUAGAUUUGCGUGUCAUCUGCAUAUAAAUGGUAUUGGACGCCAAAAGAGCUGAUGAGUUUACCAAGGGAGGCAGUAUAGAUAGAGAACAGUAGGGGGCCGAGGACAGAACCUUGGGGGACGCCGACAGGGAGGGGUUGGGGAGAAGAGGCAGAGCCAGAGAAAGAAACACUGAAGGAGCGCUGGGAGAGGUAGGAGGAGCACCAGGAGAGAGCAGAAUCCCGUAGACCAAAGUUACGGAGAAUGUGAAGAAGCUGUUGAUGAUCAACAGUGUCAAAGGCGGCAGAAAGAUCAAGGAGGAUUAGGAUAGAGUAUUGGCCGCGAGAUUUAGCAGCAAUUAAAUCGUUGGAUACUUUGGUCACAGCAGUUUCGACAGAGUGACCAGCGCGGAAUCCAGACUGAAGGGGGUCAAGCAGAGAGUUGGAUUCAAGAAAGUCUGUCAAUCUGGCGUAGACAACUCUCUCGAGGAUCUUGGAGGCAAAUGGCAGUAGCGAGAUAGGGCGGUAGUUGGAUGGGGAGUUGGGAUCGAGGUUGGGCUUUUUCAGAAUUGGGGUUACGGUUGCAUGUUUGAAGGCAGAGGGAAAUGUGCCAGAGGAAAGGGAGAGAUUGAAAAUGUUAGCGAGAGGAAGAGCAAGAGAGGGAGACAAAGUGCGGAUGAGAUGCGAGGGAAUAGGAUCGAGGGAGCAGGUGGUGGGGCGGGAGGACAGUAGUAGCAGAGCAGAAACCUCUUGUGCUGUAGCAGGUGCAAAUGAGCUUAGGAUGACAGGGGGAGUGGGGUUGGGUGAUGUAUUGAUACUGGUCGGAGAAAGAUUAGAGAUCUCUUUCCUGAUUGUAGAGAUCUUCUCAGUGAAAUGAGAUGCAAAGUUUGUGGCGGACAAGGUGGUGGAAGGAGGGGGAGUCACAGGGCGAAGAAGUGCAUCAAAAGUGUGAAACAGGUGUUUGGGUUGGUGGGACAGUGUGCUUAUGAGGGUGUUGAAGUAGCUUACUUUUGCAGAGGAAAGAGCCAUGCUGUAGGAGCGCAGCAUAAAUUUAUAGUGGACAAAGUCAGAUGCAAAGUGAGACUUUCUCCAGCAGCGUUCAGCAGUUCUGGAACAUUUUUGGAGGUAACGGGUCAGCUUGGUGUGCCAGGGUUGUAGUUGGGGGAGCUUGCUGCGUUUAACUGUAGGAGGUGCCAUGAUGUCAAGUUGAGAGGAGAGAGUGGAGUUGUAGAGUGAGGUUGCAGAGUUAGGGCAGUUGUGAUUUGAGAUGGGUAAAAGGAGUGUUUGGAGUUUAGUGGAGAAGUGCUGGAGAUCGAGAGAGUUGAGGUUUCUGCGAGGUUGGAGAGUGGACGAUGGUGAGAUUUUGGUAUGGGGUAUGCAGAUGUUAAAUGUUAGCAGAUGGUGGUCAGACAAAGGAAAUGGAGCAGUGGCGAGAUCAGAGGUAGUACAGAGAUUGGUGAAGAUGAGGUCAAGAGUGUUUCCUGCAGUGUGAGUUGCUGAGGAAGAAAUCUGUGUGAGUCCAAAGGAGGAGGUUACAGAGAGCAGACGAGAGGCAUCAGGGCAAUUGAGCUUGUUGAUAGGGAUAUUGAAGUCCCCAAGUAUGAGAGAGGGAGUGCUAGAGGAAAGAAAGUGGGGUAACCAGGAGGAAAAGUGUUCAAUGAAUAGUUUAGGGUGACCGGGGGGGCGAUAGAUGACGGCAAUUCUUAAAGGAGUGGGCUUAAAGAGGCGUACAGUGUGAACUUCAAAGGAAGUAAAGGAUAGGGCAGGGGCAGGGAGGAUAGGUUGAAAGGUACAUUGAGGGGAGAGAAGGAUGCCGACACCACCUCCUUUACAGUCAAGUCUAGGAGUAUGGGAGAACUGUAGACCACCGAAACAUAAAGAAGCAGGAGUAGCGGUAUCGGAUGGAGAUAGCCAGGUCUCAAUGAGUGCCAGUAUUGUGAGAGAGUUAGAGAUGAGGAGGUCAUGUUUUGCUGUAGAUUUGAUAUUACUACAAAUGGAGCGAGCAUUCCAGAGUGCACACUGAAUUUUGGUAGAGGAGGAUAGACUGCAUGGUAUUUGGAGGAGGUUUGCAUGGUUUCUGGUUAUUUUAGUGUGAGCAGAUGAGGUGAGGGGCCCCGGGUUGGGAGAGACGUCACCAGCUGCCAGAAGUAGGAGGAGAGAUAGAGACAGGAGGUGUGAGUGGGUUUUAUAUGGGCGGCGACUAGGGUGAGAUUGGGUUAGAGCAGGAGAGAGAGAAUAGAGAAAUGAGUGCAGGGCUUGAGAUGAGAGAAGGGGGGAGUGUAGCAGAGAGGGAUUAAUGUAAAUGUUAGUGUUUUGUUGAGGGAAGUGGGUGGAAGGGGAUAUUUUGAUCCUUAGGGAGAUGAGAGAGAAGGAGAGGAGGAGAAUAUAGAGCAUUGCUCUGAUAGGUAGGUAAUUAGAGGGAAGGAGAAUGAGCAUAAGGGAGGAGAGGGAGUGAGUGUUAGGGGUUAAGAAGGUGGAUUGUGCUCAUUAUGGGUAGUGUUUGCAGCUGCUAUUUGGAAUUAACUAAAGUUGUGUGUGGGAUUCUAUCUAUAAAUGUAGUAAGGAACUUUGGGUGGGGUGGUGAGGGGAGGCGUGGGCGGGAAUCUGAGCACUGUUCAGGUUUGCUAGAAGUGGUCUUUUAAAACUCAGACUUGCAGAAACUCAUGUACACAUUCCCUUACAAAUCAAUUUCAUCAUUGUGAUAAAUAAUAUAUUCUUUGUUUAAGGGCCUUUUAUCUAUUAAAGAGAAACUGUCAUAACGCUUUCGAAGAGCGCUCUAAGUUCGAAAUAACCUAAUCUUGAAUAUAAAAUACAGAUAAUACAUUUAACAAUCUAUGCAAAAAAAAAACAUAAACAAAUAAUACAAUUUAAAAAUAAAAAACAAACAAACGCUUGCAUUUGAAGUUGCAUGAAAUCCCCACGCACUUCAAAACGUAAUUCUUUUUUAAAGGGACACUAUAGUAACCAGAACAACUACAGCUUAUUGAAUUUGUUCUGGUGAGUAGAAUCAUUACCUUCAGGCUUUUUGCUGUAAACAGAUCCUUCCUGGGUCAUGGCUGCCUAAAAUACAUCCAAACAUUCAGUGUCUCCACCCUCUGCAUGCAGACACUGAACUUUCCUCAUAGAGAUUCAUUGAUUCAAUUCAUCUCGAUAAGGAGAUGCUGAUUGAAAUGAGCGCACCUGUCACUUCCGAUGGCUCCAUGGAGCUAACAUAAUUGGGAAGGUAACCUCCAUGGCUGUCUGAUUUUUAUUAAAGAGCUGUGACCUUCAUGGGGCAUCACUAUCCAUACAGUGUGAGUAAAGUAUAUAUUUUGCAGGGAAGUUUGACAGGUAGUCCUGUAAGUGCAGAUAGGAGCCAUUUAAGGAUAAAGAGAUUACACAAACCAUUCUUUACUAACAACUUUGCGUGAUGCGGGCAGAUCUCAGCUUGUUUUAAAUUAAAGGCAAGGUUUAUACAGGACUUAAAAACCUCAUGUUUCCUUUACAAUGGAAACCAAUCUAUGUGUGUUUUUGUUUAGAUCAAACAAUCAUCUCAAUUAGUAGUUAAUUAUACAUCGGCAGACACCAAACAUAGAGUGCGUUUAAUGCAGACGGAGAACAUAACUAUGAUUAUGAUUGCAUCAUCACUGUUUCCAAAGAAGAUUUAUGAUCUUCACUUUCUGUAAUUACCAGCUACCUAUUGUGUGUUUAGAUCAUCCUGCAUUGUUCUUCAAGCCUCAACACAGGCUGUGGUAUCCAAAUCUGCUAGGGGUGGCUACCACUUCUGCCCAAAUACGAUGACUUCAUGAGAAUGUCCAGGCCUGAAUCUGUGAAUGAAACUGUUUUUUUUAUGGGGUGGAUGGUGAAACAGAACAUUUGUCUCAGUAAAAUAAAGUAAAAAAUAAAAUAUAUGGUUUUCCAAUUCCAAAAUCUGUCGGUUGUGUCCCUUUCUUGGGUGAUGGGGCCAGAGGUAUUGAGGUGACGGGGCCAGAGGUAUUGAGGUGAUGAAAUCAGAGGUAUUGAGGUGAUGGGGCCAGAGUUAUUGAGGUGAUGAGAUCAGAGGUAUUGAGGUGAUGGGGCCAGAGGUAUUGAGGUGAUGGGAUCAGAGGUAUUGAGGUGAUGGGGCCAGAAGUAUUGAGGUGAUAGGGCCAGAAGUAUUGAGGUGAUGAGAUUAGAGGUAUUGAUGUGAUGGGGCCAGAGGUAUUGAGGUGAUGGGGUCAGAGGUAUUGACUUUGAGAUAGUUGUACACGGAUGGAAUGUACGUGAGACCUUGAUGUAAAUGCUCACAUGUUUACCUUCCCAUUCUUGUCACUAAUGUCACAAACAGAGGCGUCAGAAUGACCUUAUAAAGGGCCUGAUAACCUGAGCUGGUAAAAUAAUUACUGGUGCACUACGCAAGUUAUGUUUCCAAUAUUCAUGUGGACUACUGUGUUGAAGAAUAAUCCCAUUAUUUGUGAAUUACUGCCAGACUAUGUAUCCUCUUCACUUUCUGGUUAAUUCCCCACUAAAUUAAGUUGCUUUUUGUAGGUAUGGAUUCUGAACACCACUCUAGCUUCCUGGGUUUCUGUUUAUGUGGCCCACUGUCAGGUGCCAAAACUGUUACACUGUCACACAAAAUGGUGCAAUCAAAAAGGGGAGCAGAGUUAAUGUGCUUGCCAUCCUGAUGACCACAGUAGCAAUAUUAACAGUGGUGGUUAUAUCCGUUCCCACAGCAUUCUUGUGGCUUUUGUCACUGCAAUGACACAGCAAUGUAUGUGUCAACACUAUACUUCAGGGCGAAUGUGUACACUGGUGUGAUGUACAUCCAAGUCUGGGUACAGUUGGGUAUGUCAAAAGAUCCCUGGGCUGCGAGAAUAUUUUACGAAACGUUGCAAAAUUUCCUGUGUUGGCUAUUCACAGUGCCCUGGAAACGCCAUCCGAACUCCACCGGAGAGUCCCAGAACCUGCACAAAACUGCUGCAUGUCUUUUUACACAAAGACCAGUCUGUCCAUUUCCCUUUCUGUUGUUUCUGAUCAACAGAAAUCUCAAACACCUGCUUACUUCUGGGACUAUGUGACUUUGCAGCCUGUGAUGACUUUCAGAACUCAUCUCGAGACCAUGUUGCGUGCUCCUAUUUGCAGAACUGUGAAAUGCACAGCUAUAAGUAUCUAAAUAGUCUUGAAGGACAACUUAAAGGUUGACUGGGUGACCUUCUAGCAAGACUGUGGACAUGAACUAUGCUAUAAAUGGCAACUGGGGAAAUUUAAUUAAUUGAUUGGAUGAGACUGUAGACCUGAAAUGUUCUCAAAAUGGCAACUGGGGACAUUCCUGUGAUUGAUUAGGUGACCCUCCAGUGAGAUAUCAGACUUUAUGUCUACACUGUCCCAACCAUGGCAACUGGAGAUGAUCCAAAGGUUGACUGGGUUAAACAUCUAAUGAGAAAUCAGACCUACCACCUGGUCUGUCCACGACAAAUAAUGUUUAUUGUGCAAUGUUAGUUUUGUUUUUCCAAAACAUGAUUGCACGGUCAAGGAUAUAUUUAACCCAACGAGGUGACGUAAUUGUGAAACUGAAUAUAUACCUUCAUUUAUAGAACAUUAAUCUAAACAAUUUCCUCCCUUUAUCUAAAUACAAUGCUUUACCAGAAAGGCGGCUCAUUCUGAGAACAGAAACAACAAGUAUAGACAUGUAAGAUAUACUUGAAACAAGCCAUUAUAUAAAAGAAUGAAAAAAAAAACACCGCCGUGAAACAUAAUUGUAAAAUGUGUUACAUAGCCUAACCUCCACUGGCUUUUUGGUGAUUUCGAAUUUUGUCUUAGUGCUCAGUAUUACAUGGUAUAUCAGUUCAAAUAUACUACUGACCCUUAAAUCCAAGGUACAGAAUUCUACUUAAAAUGUUUUGCGAAGGAUUUAUCUAACUCCACAAUCUCUACACACCGUGUUCACUCAACAAUCCACCUCCAUUACUGAUAGCACUUUGGUCAAAGUAUCCUUCUGUAUAUCUUUAGUAAAUCUUCUACGUAACAAAAUCUAGUUUGAUCCACCCACUGAAUGCUAUGACUUCAUUAUUAUUGAUCUUCUGGAAACAAAAGAAUUUGACAUUGUUUUAGGCUAAAUGGUUGACCCUAGGGCUGCUGAGGAAAUUAAAUGCUAUUACCAGAGAGGAUUUUGUUGUACCACACUAUCUUCAAAGCUUUGCCCUAUUCUGGAGGUCCAUGUUUCCUGUCUGCUCCACUACAAUAACUGCUGUCCUAUAUUCAAUUAUGAGGUGUUGUGUGCCCUCUUAGGAAUGAUUUCCUUUGAAUAGGUGAAUAUCAUGCUCCACAAGACCUACAAUAUCUAAUGUAUGUAUCACCCAAGGGUAAUGACUUUCCACCCUCUACAUAAUGCUGGACGGCAACUCUUUCAUUUAUAGGCAUCCAUUCUGGACAAGAACGAUGGGUAUAGCAGGUAGCAUCGUAAUUAUUGGACUUAUAGGAGGUAUAAUUCAGUCCUCACACUUCCAGAAAUGUUCAUAUAUAGGACCCACCAACUUUUCAUUACAUCUCUAAUUGUUAGUACAUGAAAGUGUUUAGCCAACUCAUUUUUCUGUUGAAGGCUUAGCUAUGAGGAAGUAAACAACUGAAAAUAAGGUCACACACAAUGGAAAAAAAUAGCAAAUAUGAGUAGGCUGCUUCACGUAGGGGAGCGUCUAACAGGUAGAAAAAAAAUCAAAUCACCAGAGUAUCUAAACACUCCUAGGGACUAAUCCAGAUAUAUAAUAUCACUGUAAAAUAUAUAGAAUACAAGUGGCUUGCUAGCAGUGAAAUCACUGAAACAUGGCAUCGUGUAUAAAAAAAGGAAAAUGAAUAAGUAUAUAAAUAUUUACUGUACAGGUCAAUUAAUAACAGAGCACAAUUUGAUUAUAUCGUAAGUAAAAAAUGAAAUAUAAAUAAAUAGAAUCUCUCAAAUCACAAUGCCAUUGGACAAGUAGAAUCCGAUAGAUUACAAAACAACCAUCAGCUAAAAAGUAUCAGAUGAGUGUAACAAGGUCUGGCAUAAAUAGUAGCGAUACAUGGGAAGCAGUAAUUACAGUAAAGGUGUUCCAGUGAUAUAUCAUGUUAGAUUGAUAUUGCAGAUAUCCACUAUAUUACAUCAAAUAAGAUAUCUCAUAAGGUACUAAACCAGUGAGAAGGGAUAUGAAAGAGAUAAAUAAAAACAAAUAAAAAAUACACUCAAUAAUACAAAAUAUGCCUGCAGAUAAAAUGAAAUAACAAAACGAAUACUGAACUGUGGGGGCCCUUCCACCGGUCCAAAGAGAUGCUGAAACAAUCCUUCCAGAAGUGCAGCAAUGUCAGUGAUCACAUCAAUCCUCAGCGAGCUCAACCCCCUAUGUGUCCGAUAUUGCCUGGAAUCACAGCGUUAUGUCCGAGUUUUGUAAUGACAGGUCCGCAGUUCGGGAAGCAGACAACACUACUUACCAGGGCCAGAGCGGGGAGCACACAAAGCUGAAAUCUCGGGGUGAGCCGCUGCCGGUAACUCAAAAAAAGGCUGCGGCCGUCUUAUACGAACAGUAUCAUUAUCAGUAAAGGAUAAAAAUAGGACAACAGAGUCAACGCGUUUCGUCUUCUGUGCAGACUUUAUCAAGACUAACAGGACGACCUUAAAUUAGACAAUAAGACUAGCAGUAUUGAUAAAGGCUUCACAGAAGACGAAACGCGUUGACUCUGUUGUUCUACUUUUAGCCUUGUAUUUUGUAUAUUUUACAGUGAUAUUAUAAAUCUGGAUUAGUUCCUAGGAGUGUUCACAUACUCGGGUUAUUAGCUAUGAGGAAGUGCUGUUAUCCACGAAAUGCGUUAGGUGGCUUCAUUUAUUUGUCCUCACCCCUGUUAUCCCUCCCAGCACGUGUUAUCUGAAUAAAGUUUUUCCCUCCUUGAGACAAUUGAUUAAUACAAAUGUUUACAGUUUUCUAUUGACACUUGAGUGUAUCCCGGUACGUAAAUGGGUUUUAGGAAAGCUGCUGCAGAGGUGUUUUGGGAAGUUCAGUUUACUUGAGGGCUGUAAGGGCUCUCAUUGUGUUUGUGGGCAUUUCAUUGAAAUUAUAGAAACCCUAUUGGAGAUAUUUCAUGUUGAAAUUAGGAUGCUGGAAGCAAUUCCUUCUACUUUGUAUCUAAGACACAGUGUAAAGUGUCUUCUCAUUACUCAGAGCACCUCCACAGAGCUGCAGUAGAUUAGCCUUGGGUGGUUUUCCAAAGAGACUUUGUGUAUAGAUGAUGUCCGUUGCCAUGGAUACAGCGAGAACAUACACUAUUAAGAACAAUAUGUGUUUGUGACUGAAAUAAUGCUGGUAUUUAUUCCUCCACUGCCUUUUUCUUAAAAAAAAAAAAAAGUAAUUUUGUGGGGGAAAAAAAUCUUCAACAGUUUUUGACGGUCUGCCCACAGCUUUCCACGGUAACUGCAAGUAACCCCCUUGGUGGGCACUUUAACCCUCUACACAGCACUGUAUCCAAAAAAGAAAGAACGGAUAUUCUGAGCUGGAAUUUUACAAACACGAUUGGUGUGAAACAAAUUCCAAAUUGCAAUAUUUUAGACAUAGCUAGACUAUUGUAGCCUGUAAUUUGCAUUUCUGAUUUUAAUUUGCAAACAUUUUGAAUAAGCCCUAUUGUUUUUGAAUGGGUUUGCGAAUGGCGUGUCAGAUAAGGCUUCUGGAAUCUAAUCCUGAAAAAGAAUUGCCGCCUGUUGAAGGUACACUUUAAAGCAUGUAUCAGGUGACGGUUGACGAUAUCAGCUCUUGUUGUGUACUGUGAUUAAAAGGUGACAACACAUAGAUUCUAUUAACACGUUGAAUGUCGUUAUUAGGACAAUAACUGGAUUCUUGCUCUAAGAUGAUGGUGAAUGAAUCUGGUGAAAGAAGACUUCUAGUAACGGCAGGUAGGAAGGGAUAGCUGUGAGAUAUCUGCUGGAUUGAUCCCAUUUGAAUUGUUUGGGCCACUGACUUUUUUAUUGCAGUUCCACACAUGACCACUUGAAACAUAUUCGUAUAGACCUGUAUCCAAAAAUUUCCACCUUGACUGCACUAGGUCUGUGCUCUGUGACCUAAAGGCACAUCGAGACUGUUAAUGACUUUAGUUUACAAAUUGUUCUGUGCUAAUAAUGCUCGUAGGUUAUAGGGCAACUAUAGGAAUCUGUUGGCCAUUGGCCACUGGUGUAUUUAGUUGGCUGCCCUUGGCAAUCUGACCUUACGUUUGCUAAAACCUGGAGUGACAAGAUACAAAAAGGGCUGCCUAUAUUAAACACAACAAAUCAUAUAUAAACCUACUGUUUGCCAUCGUAUCGUAGUAAAUUUAGCUGUUCGUAAACAAUUAUUUUCCUGACAGCAUCGUCCAAUAUUUUUAUCGUUUUAAUGUGCUACGGUCAUUUUAUUAAGCUGCAGGGCCUGGUAUUAAAUGGAAACCUUGAAGUAAAUGAUAAUUACAAGGCCUCUGGCACUGAGAGAAAUCUACGCCUGACUUAAUUAAUCCGACUUUAUUUCACCUUAAUAUUGCGCCGUGAGUACGCACAUACCUUGGGGUUUUGCCAGCAAUAUAAUUACUACAUCUCAGGCGAAUCUGAGGCUUGCUGCGCACUAGCUGACCCAGCUGAAACUGACCCGUUUAAAAUUAGGUUUUAAGGCCCUUAAUCUGACAUUUUAAUUGGCACGUACUGUGAGCCAGGCUUGGAGAGAGAGGGCGACGCUGGUCUUCUGUUAGAAUAAAAGCCUUUCUCUACUUGUUGGUUUGUUUUAUAAGGGAAUAAAAGAUCACUUUGUCUUAAAAAGUUCUCAUCUCGUCAACCUGUGAACACUGAGCUCAAUAAAUGCCACUGGAUUUCUGUAACACACCACCGCACCAAACUGCAUCGCAGUAAUGUCAAGGCUUAUUAAAAAAAGGAAAUAUUGUGGAAAAAGAUUAAUUUAACUGGGAAAAGCUUGUGGUUUGGGGUUUUUCUUGCUAAGAUGCGUCUUCCUCCAGUAGACAAUUGAAAUGGCCUUUUCUUUUAAAAGUUCUCUGUCCCCACCAGCCAUCAUGUGAUUGUAAACUAGCAAUGGGGCACAGGUUAAAGAGCAGGUAAUUUGCACCGAAAAAAAAAAGACCGGACAACUUGUUAUGAAUAAUACAUUGUUCAGGUCAUGUUUUCAGGAGAUACAACCAUUGAGAGCUAUUUGCAUGUAAUGCUUUUACUAAGGAAUACACGAAUGAGAGCGAUAGUAUACCUGCUUUAAAGGAACCCUAUGGUAUCAAGUGUCAGGAAUAUAAAUGUGCAUUCCUGAAAAUAUAGUUAGAAAGGCACUGUUUUGACCCCCAUGCCCCACUCUUCUUACUUUUAAAAGCAGUUUAAACUCACCAUUUUUUCCAGUUCCGUUCUCACCAUAGCUGUCCCCAGCCCUUUAUGCCUCCAUGGCUGAGAUAGUCAAACUUGAUGAUCUCAGCCAAUCCAAUGCUUUCCCAUAGGAAAGCAACGGGAGGCUAUUGUGCAUGCGUGGCAAAACACCACACUGCGCCAAUCAGCAUCUCCUCAUAGAGGUGCAUUGAAUCAAUCCAUUUCUAUGAGGAAUGUUCAGCAUCUCCAUGCAGAAUGUGCGACACUGACUCAGGAACACCUCUAGUGGCUAUAUGAGUGACUACCACUAGAGGUGUCACAAGGCAGCAAUGUAAGCACUGCCUUUACUAUACACUAUACUGUACACACCAGAACAACUACAUUAAAGUGUAUUGGUUCUGGUGAGGAUAGUGUCCCUUUACCCCUUAAGGACCAAACUUCUGGAAUAAAAGGGAAUCAUGACAUGUCACACAUGUCAUGUGUCCUUAAGGGGUUAAGUAAGGAUGAGUACGAGAUGUAAUGUAAAUUGAUACAUUGAUGAUAUAUGCUUUGAAAAGUCUGCAAACGCAACCUGGACAAAACUGGUACAGACAGUGUGUAACCAGGGCAAUCUUUCCCCAUGGACACGCUAGGCAGGCCUGGGAUCCCCACAGACAUGGGGGCCCCACCGCCCUGCCCAGCAUGACCAAGCCAACAGGGGAGAUUCUUUGAUUUCCUCGGCAGGCCCAUGGAAAGCCGGCCCUGUUUUCUGGCCGUGGGCCCUCUCAGGCCAGUGAGGAGAUCAGAGAGAUAGUACCCCACCCACGGGACCUCUCAAACACACACACAACACUCCUCACACACACAGCACCUCUCAGACACACACACACAGCACCUCUCACACACACACAUACACUGCACGCCUCAAUGCAGUAUGUGUGUGUGUGUGUGUAAUCAGCAGUCUGUAUGUAUUUAGCAAUCUGUAAAUAUUUAGCAGUCUGUGUGUUUGUGUGUAUUCAGCGGCCUGUGUGUAUGUAUUCAGCAAACUGUAGGUAUGCAUUCAGCAGUCUGUCUGUGUGUACUCAGCAGUCUAUCUGCUCUCAGCAGUCUGUUUGUGUGUACUUAGCAGCAGGGCCACCAUCAGGGCAUGGCAACCAUUACAGAUGUCAUGGGCCGGGUGGUCCAGGGGGCCCGGCCUGCUCUUGCAGUUCCAGGCCCCACAUUCCCCAUGUGCACAUAUAUCUAGCGAUUAUCGCUAGGUAUAUGUGCACUGCGGGCCCCUCACUCUCUCUGUACAGCAGGGGGGCCCAGCACACUCCGGUGUCUUCACUUUCCAGCUCCUCGGUCUCUCUCGCGAACCCCGGUUACUAUAGCAACGCUCCGCGCUGCACAUAGGCAGGUCUCACGAGUUGGAGACCGUCAAUCAGCCGGAAAGACAAGACACCAGAGUGUGCUGAGCCCCCCUGCAGUAUACAGCACCCGCCACCAUGGAAUACAAUCUCCCCCUCCCUGGCCAGGUAACAAGCAGGGAGGGGGGUAUAACAUAAUACGUGUGCAAAUAAAUAUUUUUAAAAACAGCCCAAAAGUGCUUUUUUCCCACAGAAUCAGCCCCUGUUUACACACAAGACAUGCUCACACAAACACACACUCUGCAGUCCCCACACACACUACAUUCACUAUACACACUGCAGUUACUACACACACACUACAUCCACUAUACAAACACACACUUUGCAAUCUCUACACACACUCUACAGUCACUGCACACACUACAUCCACUGCACAAACACACACUCUGCAGUCAGUACACACACUACAUCCACUACACAAACACACACUCUGCAGUCACUACACAUACUCUGCAGUCACUCUAAACAAACUCUACAGUCACUACACACACUCUACAGUCACUACACACAAUCUACAGUCACUACACACACUCUGCAGUCACUAUACACACACACUACAUCCACUACACACACUCUGCAGUCACUAUACACACACUACAACCACUAUACAAACACACACUCUGCAAUCACUACACACACUCUGCAGUCACUACACACACAACAUCCACUACACAAACACCGCAGUCACUACACACUCUGCCGUCACUCUAUCUUAAUGUUAUAAGAUAUCCUUUCACUAUCUUUUUAAAAUCAUUUAUAUUGAAUUUUAUGUUUAAAUCACUUGCCUGUCCUUCCUACUCUCACUUAUAGGCAGCCAUCUUUAUGAAUCUUUCGUCACAUUGUCAGCCAUCUGACUCACUAUUUUGCAACUGUUCAAACUCUAAGCUCUUACGAGCUGCAACAUUCUGUCCAUUAAUUCUGACAAGCAACAGCUGCAGAUUAGUUCACUUUGGGUCAGAUAACAACAUUCUGACCAAAGGUUCAUCAAUAUAAAAAUGUAGGUAAGUGAAACUGUUCAUUUAAUCUUGUCCUUCCCAUACCAAGUGUUUUAGAACCUGAAUUUUAUCAAAGGAAUGUAUUUCGACUUAAUGGGUUUAGUUGUUAAAUUCGAGUAGCAUAAUUUAAAAUAAAUUCUCUAUCUUUUUUUUUUCCUCAGGUGUUUUGGCGUAAAAUAUCAAAUUCCUUUUCCCGAUUUCCAGUUACGCUGACUGUAGUAUCUCUGUUUAUUGCUGGCGAACAUUUGCCAGCAUGACAAUCAACGGACUUUAUCCCUGAUAUGUGGUGUUUUGUCACAAUGUUUACUGAGCGGCAUUAAUACACAGUGUAAUCAGCUCGUAUCGCCUUCUCUUGUAUAUUCAGUGAUAAGCGGACCGCAGGCCUCACUGUGAUAGAAAACUGCGCUUAGGAGGCUACCC
Molecule: non-coding RNA, 16721 nt
Organism: Pelobates cultripes (western spadefoot toad)
Lineage: Eukaryota; Metazoa; Chordata; Amphibia; Anura; Pelobatidae
Source: the annotation of a GenBank genome assembly